GAAAUGCGAUAAGUAAUGUGAAUUGCAGAAUUCAGUGAAUAAUCGAAUCUUUGAACGCACAUUGCGCCCGCCAGUAUUCUGGCGGGCAUGCCUGUUCGAGCGUCAUUUCAACCAUCAAGCCCCCGGCUUGUGUUGGGGACCUGCGGCUGCCCGCAGGCCCUGAAAAACAGUGGCGGGCUCGCUGUCACACCGAGCGUAGUAGCAUACAUUCUCGCUCAGGGCGUGCUGCGGGUUCCGGCCGUUAAACGACCUUCAUAACCCAAGGUUGACCUCGGAUCAGGUAGGAAGACCCGCUGAACUUAAGC
This 305-nucleotide unclassified non-coding RNA is filed under the name plant metagenome. Its description in RNAcentral is "partial contains 5.8S ribosomal RNA, internal transcribed spacer 2, and large subunit ribosomal RNA". The stretch from base 1 to 105 matches the Rfam family "5.8S ribosomal RNA", at positions 50 to 154 of the family's 154-position model. The record is from RNAcentral.